Molecule: ribosomal RNA, 429 nt
Filed under: Verrucomicrobiota bacterium
Lineage: Bacteria; Pseudomonadati; Verrucomicrobiota
Description: Verrucomicrobia bacterium partial 16S ribosomal RNA
Rfam family: Bacterial small subunit ribosomal RNA
Source: RNAcentral
UAGGGAAUCUUCCGCAAUGGACGAAAGUCUGACGGAGCAACGCCGCGUGAGUGAAGAAGGAUUUCGGUUCGUAAAACUCUGUUGUUAGGGAAGAAAAAAUGUAUAGUAACUAUAUACAAAAGAGACGGUACCUAACCAGAAAGCCACGGCUAACUACGUGCCAGCAGCCGCGGUAAUACGUAGGUGGCAAGCGUUGUCCGGAAUUAUUGGGCGUAACGCGCGCGCAGGUGGUUUAGAAAGUCUGAUGUGAAAGCCCACGGCUCAACCGUGGAGGGUCAUUGGAAACUAAUAAACUUGAGUGCAGGAGAGAAAAGUGGAAUUCCUAGUGUAGAGGUGAAAUGCGUAGAGAUUAGGAGGAACACCGGUGGCGAAAGCGGCUUUUUGGCCUGCAACUGACACUGAGGCGCGAAAGCGUGGGGAGCAAACAGG